UACGUAGGGUGCGAGCGUUAAUCGGAAUUACUGGGCGUAAAGGGUGCGCAGGCGGUUUUUUAAGUCUGACGUGAAAUCCCCGGGCUCAACCUGGGAAUGGCGUUGGAGACUGGAAGGCUAGAGUGUGUCAGAGGGGGGUAGAAUUCCACGUGUAGCAGUGAAAUGCGUAGAGAUGUGGAGGAAUACCGAUGGCGAAGGCAGCCCCCUGGGAUAACACUGACGCUCAGGCACGAAAGCGUGGGGAGCAAACAGG
RNAcentral lists this ribosomal RNA (253 nucleotides) under uncultured bacterium. RNAcentral's name for it is "partial 16S ribosomal RNA". It matches the Rfam family "Bacterial small subunit ribosomal RNA", at positions 524 to 776 of the family's 1533-position model. The record is from RNAcentral.